CGGCCCGGGGCGGCGUGCUAUACAUGCAGUCGAGCGGACCUUUUAAAAGCUUGCUUUUGAAAGGUCAGCGGCGGACGGGUGAGUAACACGUGGGCAACCUGCCUGUAAGACUGGGAUAACUUCGGGAAACCGGAGCUAAUACCGGAUAAUAUAAGGAACCUCCUGGUUCUUUAUUGAAAGAUGGUUUCGGCUAUCACUUACAGAUGGGCCCGCGGCGCAUUAGCUAGUUGGUGAGGUAACGGCUCACCAAGGCGACGAUGCGUAGCCGACCUGAGAGGGUGAUCGGCCACACUGGGACUGAGACACGGCCCAGACUCCUACGGGAGGCAGCAGUAGGGAAUCUUCCACAAUGGACGAAAGUCUGAUGGAGCAACGCCGCGUGAGCGAUGAAGGCCUUCGGGUCGUAAAGCUCUGUUGUUAGGGAAGAACAAGUGCGAGAGUAACUGCUCGCACCUUGACGGUACCUAACCAGAAAGCCACGGCUAACUACGUGCCAGCAGCCGCGGUAAU
RNAcentral lists this ribosomal RNA (510 nucleotides) under Sutcliffiella horikoshii. RNAcentral's name for it is "bacterial SSU rRNA". It matches the Rfam family "Bacterial small subunit ribosomal RNA", at positions 38 to 524 of the family's 1533-position model. The record is from RNAcentral. Lineage: Bacteria; Bacillati; Bacillota; Bacilli; Caryophanales; Bacillaceae.